RNAcentral lists this ribosomal RNA (119 nucleotides) under Pteropus alecto (black flying fox). Lineage: Eukaryota; Metazoa; Chordata; Mammalia; Chiroptera; Pteropodidae. The record is from RNAcentral.
GUCUACGGCCGUACCACCCUGAACAAGCCCAAUCCCGUUUGAUCUUGGAAGCUAAGCAGGGUUGGACCGGGUUAGUACUUGGAUGGGAGACCACCUAGGAAGACCAGGUGCUGUUGGCG